This 480-nucleotide ribosomal RNA is filed under the name uncultured bacterium. RNAcentral's name for it is "bacterial SSU rRNA". It matches the Rfam family "Bacterial small subunit ribosomal RNA", at positions 328 to 793 of the family's 1533-position model. The record is from RNAcentral.
UGACAGUACUCCUACGGGGAGGCAGCAGUGGGGGAAUAUUGCACAAUGGGCGCAAGCCUGAUGCAGCCAUGCCGCGUGUGUGAAGAAGGACCUUCGGGUUGUAAAGCACUUUCAGUCGUGAGGAAGGUAGUGUAGUUAAUAGCUGCAUUAUUUGACGUUAGCGACAGAAGAAGCACCGGCUAACUCCGUGCCAGCAGCCGCGGUAAUACGGAGGGUGCGAGCGUUAAUCGGAAUUACUGGGCGUAAAGCGCAUGCAGGUGGUUUGUUUAAGUUCAGAUGUGAAAGACCCGGGGCUCAACCUCGGAAUAGCAUUUGAAACUGGCAGACUAGAGUACUGUAGAGGGGGGUAGGAAUUUCAGGUGUAGCGGUGAAAUGCGUAGAGAUCUGAAGGAAUACCAGUGGCGAAGGCGGCCCCCUGGACAAAGACUGACGCUCAGAUGCGAAAGCGUGGGGAGCAAACAGGAUUAGAUACCCUGGUAG